This 515-nucleotide ribosomal RNA is filed under the name uncultured bacterium. RNAcentral's name for it is "bacterial SSU rRNA". It matches the Rfam family "Bacterial small subunit ribosomal RNA", at positions 28 to 525 of the family's 1533-position model. The record is from RNAcentral.
GAUGAACGCUGGCGGCGUGCCUAAUACAUGCAAGUCGAGCGAACAGAUAAGGAGCUUGCUCCUUUGACGUUAGCGGCGGACGGGUGAGUAACACGUGGGUAACCUACCUAUAAGACUGGAAUAACUCCGGGAAACCGGGGCUAAUGCCGGAUAAUAUUUAGAACCGCAUGGUUCUAAAGUGAAAGAUGGUUUUGCUAUCACUUAUAGAUGGACCCGCGCCGUAUUAGCUAGUUGGUGGGGUAAUGGCUUACCAAGGCAACGAUACGUAGCCGACCUGAGAGGGUGAUCGGCCACACUGGAACUGAGACACGGUCCAGACUCCUACGGGAGGCAGCAGUAGGGAAUCUUCCGCAAUGGGCGAAAGCCUGACGGAGCAACGCCGCGUGAGUGAUGAAGGUCUUCGGAUCGUAAAACUCUGUUAUUAGGGAAGAACAAAUGUGUAAGUAACUGUGCACGUCUUGACGGUACCUAAUCAGAAAGCCACGGCUAACUACGUGCCAGCAGCCGCGGUAAUA